This 404-nucleotide ribosomal RNA is filed under the name uncultured bacterium. RNAcentral's name for it is "bacterial SSU rRNA". It matches the Rfam family "Bacterial small subunit ribosomal RNA", at positions 355 to 774 of the family's 1533-position model. The record is from RNAcentral.
UGGGGAAUCUUGCACAAUGGGGGAAACCCUGAUGCAGCGACGCCGCGUGAGCGAUGAAGCCCUUCGGGGUGUAAAGCUCUUUCGGCAGGGACGAAAACCGACGGUACCUGCAGAAGCAGCUGCGGCUAACUACGUGCCAGCAGCCGCGGUAAUACGUAGGCAGCAAGCGUUGUUCGGAGUUACUGGGCGUAAAGGGUGCGUAGGCGGCCUCUUAAGUUUGGUGUGAAAUCUCCCGGCUCAACUGGGAGGGUGCGCCGGAAACUGAGGGGCUAGAGUGUGGGAGAGGAGAGUGGAAUUCCUGGUGUAGCGGUGAAAUGCGUAGAUAUCAGGAGGAACACCGGUGGCGCAAGCGGCUCUCUUGGACCACCACUGACGCUGAGGCACGAAAGCGUGGGUAGCAAACA